GAUGAACGCUAGCGAUAGGCUUAACACAUGCAAGUCGAGGGACCGGCGCAGGGGUGCGUAACGCGUAUGCAACUUGCCUCAAAGAGGGGGAUAACCCGUCGAAAGACGGACUACUACCGCGUACUGUGAGAUAGGCAUGCGUCCCAUUAGUUAGUUGGUAAGGGAACGGCAAACCAAGGCAACGAUGGGUAGGGGAACGGAGAGGUUGAACCCCCACACUUGUACUGAGACACGGACCAGAAUCCUACGGGAGGCAGCAGUGAGGAAUAUUAGUCAAUGAGCGAGAGCCUGAACCAGCCGAGUCGCGGGAAGAAUGUCUGUCUAUGAAUUGUAAACUUCUUUUGUAGGGGAAUAUGUACCCUACGAAUAAGCAUCGGCUAACUCCGUGCCAGCAGUCGCGGUAAUAC
Molecule: ribosomal RNA, 407 nt
Filed under: uncultured bacterium
Lineage: Bacteria
Description: partial 16S ribosomal RNA
Rfam family: Bacterial small subunit ribosomal RNA
Source: RNAcentral